This 293-nucleotide ribosomal RNA is filed under the name uncultured bacterium. RNAcentral describes it as "partial 16S ribosomal RNA". It matches the Rfam family "Archaeal small subunit ribosomal RNA", at positions 455 to 747 of the family's 1478-position model. The record is from RNAcentral.
GUGCCAGCAGCCGCGGUAAUACCGGCAGCCCGAGUGAUGGCCGAUAUUAUUGGGCCUAAAGCGUCCGUAGCUGGCCGAACAAGUCCGUCGGGAAAUCCACGUGCUUAACACGUGGGUGACCGGCGGAAACUGUUCGGCUUGGGGCCGGAGGACCCGAGGGGUACGUCCGGGGUGGGAGUGAAAUCCUGUAAUCCUGGACGGACCGCCGGUGGCGAAAGCGCCUCGGGAAGACGGACCCGACAGUGAGGGACGAAAGUUGAGAUCUCGAACCGGAUUAGAAACCCGGGUAGUCC